GAUGAACGCUGGCGGUAUGCUUAACACAUGCAAGUCGAACGGACUCUUCGGAGUUAGUGGCGGACGGGUGAGUAACGCGUGAGAAUCUGGCUUUGGGUUCGGGACAACCACUGGAAACGGUGGCUAAUACCGGAUGUGCCGAGAGGUAAAAGAGAAAUUGCCUGAAGAUGAGCUCGCGUCUGAUUAGCUAGUUGGUGAGGUAAAGGCUCACCAAGGCAGCGAUCAGUAGCUGGUCUGAGAGGAUGACCAGCCACACUGGGACUGAGACACGGCCCAGACUCCUACGGGAGGCAGCAGUGGGGAAUUUUCCGCAAUGGGCGAAAGACUGACGGAGAAAUACCGCGUGAGGGAAGAAGGCUCUGGGGUUGUAAACCUCUUUUCUUAGGGAAGAACAAAAUGACGGUACCUAAGGAAUCAGCAUCGGCUAACUCCGUG
This 435-nucleotide ribosomal RNA is filed under the name uncultured bacterium. RNAcentral's name for it is "partial 16S ribosomal RNA". It matches the Rfam family "Bacterial small subunit ribosomal RNA", at positions 28 to 507 of the family's 1533-position model. The record is from RNAcentral.